This 479-nucleotide ribosomal RNA is filed under the name uncultured bacterium. RNAcentral's name for it is "partial 16S ribosomal RNA". It matches the Rfam family "Bacterial small subunit ribosomal RNA", at positions 28 to 507 of the family's 1533-position model. The record is from RNAcentral.
GAUGAACGCUAGCGGGAGGCCUAACACAUGCAAGCCGAGCGGUAUGGGUAGCUUGCUACCCAGAGAGCGGCGUACGGGUGCGUAACACGUGUGCAACCUGCCCCUAUCCGGGGGAUAGCCCUCCGAAAGGAGGAUUAAUACCCCAUAAUAUAUCUGGUGGCAUCCCUAGAUAUUGAAAACCCCGGUGGAUAGGGAUGGGCACGCGCAAGAUUAGAUAGUUGGCGGGGUAACGGCCCACCAAGUCGAUGAUCUUUAGGGGUCCUGAGAGGGAGAUCCCCCACACUGGUAAUGAGACACGGACCAGACUCCGACGGGAGGCAGCAGUGAGGAAUAUUGGACAAGGGGUGGAAGCCUGAUCCAGCCACCCCGCGUGAGGGACGACGGCCAUAUGGGUUGUAAACCUCUUUUGUACGGGGAUAAACCUAUCUACGUGUAGAUAGCUGAAGGUACCGUACGAAUAAGCACCGGCUAACUCCGUG